RNAcentral lists this ribosomal RNA (651 nucleotides) under Orthotheres barbatus. RNAcentral describes it as "partial 16S ribosomal RNA". It matches the Rfam family "Bacterial large subunit ribosomal RNA", at positions 1831 to 2750 of the family's 2925-position model. The record is from RNAcentral. Lineage: Eukaryota; Metazoa; Arthropoda; Malacostraca; Decapoda; Pinnotheridae.
GUCUGCUUGGAGAUAUAAGAAGUCUAACCUGCUCUCUGAAUUUUUUAAGGGCCGCGGUAAUUUGACUGUGCAAAGGUAGCAUAAUAGUUAGUUUUUUAAUUGAAAUCUUGUAUGAAUGGUUGGACAAAAGAAUUACUGUCUCUAUAAUUUUUAUUGAAUUUAACUUUUAAGUGAAAAGGCUUAAAUUAUUUAAAAAGACGAUAAGACCCUAUAAAGCUUUAUAAGUGAAUUUUAUUUUAUUAAAUUAGUAAUAAAAAUUUAAUGAUUUUUAUUAUUUUGUUGGGGAGACAAUAUUAUAAUUUUAAGUAACUGAGGAAGAUUAAUACAAAUAUAAGUGUAUAAAAAUAUAAAGAUCCUGGUUAAAGAUUAAAAAAUUAAGUUACUUUAGGGAUAACAGCGUUAUUUUUCUUAAGAGUUCAUAUCGAAAGAAAAGAUUGCGACCUCGAUGUUGAAUUAAAAUUUCUAAAUAAUUGCAGAAGUUAUUAUAGAAGGUCUGUUCGACCUUUAAAAUUUUACAUGAUUUGAGUUCAGACCGGCGUAAGCCAGGUCGGUUUCUAUCUUUUAAAAAAAAAUUAACUAUUUUAGUACGAAAGGAUUAAGUAGUUAAAAUAAUUUUUAUAGUGGUUAUUUUGGCAGAAAAUAUGCGUAGGA